Molecule: small RNA, 184 nt
Filed under: Arabidopsis thaliana (thale cress)
Lineage: Eukaryota; Viridiplantae; Streptophyta; Magnoliopsida; Brassicales; Brassicaceae
Description: ATSL241590
Source: RNAcentral
GAUUCACCUACACAUACGGUGGCGCAGACUCCGGGGAUUAGAGCAUUUCAGCCGUUGGCCCGAGCGGUUCGGUCAUCCCUCCGCCGUAAGACCACCGGGAUCGCUUAUCUGGUUUCACGCCGUCUCUUUAGGUUACAAUCUCUAUGACCUUCAAAUUUUAACUCAACGAAACAAAACUGUUCAA